Molecule: unclassified non-coding RNA, 338 nt
Filed under: Hevea brasiliensis (rubber tree)
Lineage: Eukaryota; Viridiplantae; Streptophyta; Magnoliopsida; Malpighiales; Euphorbiaceae
Source: RNAcentral
GGAACUUUAGCGUAGCUGAGUGUUUAUAUCGAUCAUCUCAAUUUCCGAUGCCAUUUCCAACCUCCACCACUUUGAAGAAGAUAAGAGCUCUGCAGUAAUGGCGAUUCCCAUUCCCAGCCGACAGCUGUUCAUCGACGGCGAGUGGAGGGAACCAGUCCUCAAGAACCGCAUCCCCAUCAUCAACCCCACUACUGAAGAAACAAUCGGAUCUAUUCCCGCGGCUACUGCGGAAGAUGUAGAGUUAGCAGUUGAUGCUGCUCGAAAAGCACUUGCGAGGAAUAAAGGCAAAGAUUGGGCCUCUGCUCCGGGAGCUCAUCGUGCCAAGUAUUUGCGUGCUA